GUUCGUUGUGCGAUAGAUAUCGUCGAGAUAGAACGUUUCAGACUUUAGAGAGGAAUGAAACGUUUCGAUUGGGGAAUUAUCAGCUG
Molecule: unclassified non-coding RNA, 86 nt
Filed under: Psychrobacillus psychrodurans
Lineage: Bacteria; Bacillati; Bacillota; Bacilli; Caryophanales; Bacillaceae
Source: RNAcentral